CCAGAGCAACUUUGUGAUUUUCAUUCUUUAACUGAUUAAGGUUUAUUUAUUCAUAAAUUAAAUUGGAAGUUUCGAAAAAUGUGACCUUUGUAUUGAAUCUGCUUCGAACUAAUGCAAUUUUUAUCUACCUGAUUGUAACUUAAAAUGAACUAUUUCUAUUUGCUCAAUUUUUGACAUUUUAUAUGCAUACAAGUUAAAAAGGUUUUGUUUAUUUUUAUUUUUUUAUUUUUUCAGGUAAUGCAGAUUAGGGAAAAGAUUCAUGGAGCACAUCAUGAUAUGAUGGUGGAAGAUGCACUGCCCCAUGAUGGAUUGAAAAAGAGUCUGACUAUAGUGGAAAGCAAGACCGAGGAAGUAAUAGAAGACAGUGUUCAACCUGAAGAGCCAGAAGAGAAUGAUGAUAUUACUAGAUAUGGACCGGCAAUUUCAGGUGAGUUUGUGGAAGAAACAAAUUCAGAUGAGGGGUGGCAAGAAGCCAAUCCAAAAGGUAGGUCAGGAAAUGCUGCUGUUCGGAAGCUCAGCCGGAGGCGGCCUGUUCUUACAAAGCUAAAUGUCAAUGGUUGUGAACAUUCAAAUCUUAGAGAAAAAGGCAAUAGACGGGAAAUUGUAUCUCCAGCACGGGAAAAAGCUUCAAGGACCACCACCACUGAGUUAACAGGCAUGAAGGAUUCAAUUAAAUUGCAGGCAAAAGCUUCUGUCUCCAAAGUUUAUGCAAGUCCACCAAACCUUACUGCCAUGGCUUCCAAGUCGCUGUCUUACAAAGAAGUAGCUGUGGCACCUCCAGGUACGGUUCUAAAGCCAUUACCAGAGAAACCGGAUGAAGAAAUUGAAGAAAAAACUGAAACACAGAUGUGCAGUAAUGCUCCUGAGACAUCAAAGGCGGAGUUGAAUAACCAUUUCUCUCCCGUUGAAGAUGCGCCAGUUGAUGGUCAGUCUCAAGAAACUCAUGGAAGUGUAACUCAAUCUGAAACUACUGCUGCAGAUACCGAGGAAGUUCCUUCUUCUUCUAAUGAGGAAAAGCCCAUGGAAACAAAUGGGAGUAAGCUUUCUGCCACAGCUGAACCAUUCAACCCAGGAGCUGUCUCCAUGACUCAUCUGCUAAACUCUGUAGCAGCCACGAGUAUUUAUGAUGCGAGAACUAGUCAAGGUAUGCUUGCAGAACCUGCUGUACCUUCGGCUGCUGCUAGAGUUCCUUGUGGGCCAAGGUCGCCUCUCUAUUAUAGAAAUAAUUAUUCUUACAUGAUGAAACAUGGAUUUCCAAAAUACCACUCUUCCAUUAUGGAAAGAAACCUGUUGGGGCCUUCAAGAAUCAUGAACCCGCAUGCACCUGAGUUUGUGCCAAUGAGAGGUUGGCAAAUAAAUCCUGGAUAUGCAGAUUCAAAUGUUUCAAAUGAGUCGAACUCUUCAAAUGACACAAGUGAGGCAGACGAUGAGAAACUUGACAAAAUGUCCAGUAUUCAAGGCGAGGAUAAUACCUCAAGAAAGAGCAGUACAGAGGCGGAGAAGUCAGAGCUGGCAAGACAGAUACUACUUAGCUUCAUUGUAAAGUCAGUCCAGCAUAAUAUGGAUGCUCCAAGUCAUUCUUCAGGCUACGAAAAGAAGAUUGGGUAUUCUGAAAAUUCUUCAGAUGCAAUUGCAAAUGAUAAAUUGUUAGUUAACAGAUUGCAAAUGAUCCUUUAUGGAAAUGAAAAGGGCAAAACAAACUUGGCAUCUCAGUCCAAUGAUCAAGAACAGCAAAAACCGAAAGAUGAAAACCAAAAAAGUGGGGAUGGUGAAGGAUUUAUAGUUGUCAGAAAACGGAGAAGAAACCGACAGCAGAUCACAAAUGGGGUAACUGAGAUGUACAAUCAUCAAUCCAUCUGUGCUUCUGUUCGUUAAAAGAGAGAGCAAAGCAAUAAAAUGCAAAGGUGCCGUCCUGUUUCUCCCAAUUUUAUUCGAAAAAUUUGUCAGUGAAUGUUACCGUUGUAGAAAUGGUUAAAGUUUGGAGCAAGUUUUAAUCAAUACUUGAUUGUAUCAUUUUAGACAUCCUCUCUGGAUGUUCUAAUAUAAUAUUUGUACAAAUUGGUUUCUUGUUUUGUUAAGAGAUUUUGUUUUGAUCAAUAAAUGAUGAUAAAUUAAUUGGGCGAUUUUCCUCAUCAAGAGAUCUGUGAUGUUGUUCUAUAAUGGAUCUUAAUGUUUUAGACUGAGAUUUGUAGUUAUGCCUCAAAUUAUUUGGUAUUUGGUUGGUGCGUGUGAACAAUACGUUCGGAAUGGAGUUGAAUUGGGUUAUCUUAUAUCAAAUGUCUGAAAUUUAAUUUUCUUACAUUUGCAGCUGAAGUUGCUGCACUGAUGAUAUUACAACUAACAUAGUAUUUGGCAAAAUUCCUCAUUCAAUUUAAAUUUGCAAUCAACAGAAACUGAAGAACAAGCCGUAAGUCUAAUCCUAAUGGAUGCAUAGCUGUUUGGAGAAAAGCCAACGGAGACAUAACACAGCACGAUAAGUUAUACACGGCAGAACCGUAUGUGCUAGUAAGCACAGUCACCAAUGGAAAACAUAUUUGAAAAGCCAAUAGUAGCAUGUGUCAAUACAUCUAUCAAUGAAAUAGAACCACAGUCUGCGCCAGUACGAGUUUAUCCAAAGUGCUGCAAAGAAGCCCAAAAUCACCGACACAUAGGAUGCUCCAAAACUCCAUCUUAAUGCCACCAUAUCAAUCACAGAAUCGCCUUCAUCUUCUCCUCCUCCUGUAGGUGUCGCUGGUGGUGCCAACGCACUGCUGCAUUUCCUCUUUAUCAUUGAGCCACAAAGAGCCGAAUUACCUUUAUAACUGCUGUCAUCAAACGUGCCAAACUGCUCUUUGUCUGGGAUUGGGCCGGACAAAUUGUUGUAUGACACGUUGAAGUUUGAUAAAAAGUUGAGGUCAGUUAGUUGAAGAGGAAUUCGGCCACUUAAUUUGUUGCGGGAAAGGUCCAGGCUCUCUAUCAUUUUCAGAUUGGAGAAGCUCUCUGGUAUAGCACCUGAUAGUAAAUUAUUGGACAGAUUAAGUGCACGAAUAUGUUGAAGAUGCCCAAUUUCCCAUGGAAUUUCUCCACUGAACUCAUUGCUCGAAAAAUCCAAUCCAGCCAUGUCGACGAGAUUGAGACCGAUGAAAAAUUCAUAUCUAUACUUUGUCACAAAUUCUACACCUACUUGUUGAUCUACUCUACUAUGUAGUUCACCUUGCGGCUGCUGAUCAAGAGUGGAAUUGUAGUAAGUAGAAGCGGAAUCAUGAUUAGACACACCAAAUCCAGAUCCAUAUGAAUAAUCAACAAUCACUUCUCCCCAGAAUGACAGGUUACCCAGGCAUGAAGGUAUCGGCCCAUUAAGUCUGUUAUGUGAAAGAUCCAUGAUACCUAAUUUUCUUAAUUGGCACAACUGAUUAGGAAUACGUCCUUGUAGAUAAUUCCCUCUCAAAAGAAGAACAUGCAAAUUCGAAAGCUCAUUGAUCUGAUGAGGAAUCCUACCAAAAAGUUUAUUGUCCCUCAAAUCUAGAGUCAAUAAUGUAGAGCUUCGAAGCAAUGCAAUUGGAAUUAACCCAUUAAUUGCAUUGUUAUGCAGAUAAAUGUGCCCCACUGAUGAAAGAUUGGAGAGAGAUACCAUGGACCCAGACAAACUAUUUUCGGAUAUGUCUAUAAACUCAAGACUUUCAAGAUUGCCGAGCUGGACCGGAAUACUACCUUGCAAAUAAUUUUCUGACAUUAAAAGAAGCCAAAGGUGUGAGAAGUUGCCAAUCCAGUGGGGAAUAUCGCCGGAUAACUUGUUGUUGGAUACAUCUAAUACCCCCAGCAAAGGGGAGCUCAACAAACCAUCUGUCAUCUUCCCACUGAAAUGAUUGUUGUCCAAACGUAAGGAACGCAAAUGAGUCAAGUUCAUAUAAUUGGGAAAAAGUUGGCCAUAGAAAUUGUUAUUUGAUAGGUCCAACAUAUCUAAGGGGAGGCAACUAGAGAAUAUAGAUCGAGUUAAUUCUCCUGAAAAAUUAUUUCCAGACAAAUCCAAAGUAAUUAGCUCUUUCAUCUCACUGAUUGAAUAAGGAAUAUUACCUUCAAAACUAUUUUUUGACAUAUCCAAAUAUAUCAAUUUCUGAAAGACAAUACCCAAAUUCUCUGGUAGCUUACCAGAGAAAUUGUUAGUGGAAAUAUCUAGAUAACGAAGCUUAUCGUAUUUGGCAUUGGGAAGUCGCGGAAGAAUUCCUGAGAAUGAGUUAUUCCACAAAAUCAAAACUUCUAAUCCUGUGUUGUUUUGCAACAACCAAGUUGGGAAAUUGCCAACCAACUGAUUGUGAGAGAGAUCAAGGAAUUUUAAGUUGGAUUGGUGUAAAAGAAAACUGGGAUUGACAUUUAAGCGGCAGUGAGGUAAUUGGAGAACCUUGAGAGGAUAUGUGGGGAGCCAGUUUUCGGUUUUCACUUGCAACAUAUCGUUUUGUGGCGAGAGUAGCAAGACCUCAAGCUUUGAAUGAUUAGCCAAUGAAUUUAUUGAGAAUGUUCCUUGGAAAUCGAUGAAAGAGAGAUCCAAAUAUUCAAGUGAUGUGAGGUUGGUCAAGGCAGAAGGAAAUUUUCCACUUAACUGAUUGUAAGAAAUAUCAAGAACUUUGAGAUGGGUCAAGUUGUUGAGACACUGAGGAAGGUGAACCACAAAAUUAUUUAACCUUAAAUCCAACUCAAGAAGAUUCUUCAAAUUACAUAUUCCUGAAAGUGAAAAUAAAAAGCUCAGAUGUCAUAAAACGAAAACUAAUUAUAGCGCAUUCAAUCAUAAACCCAAUAUAAGACUUAUAAAACAGUCAUGAAAUCAAAUUGUCUAAGUAUUUUGGUCAACAUAAAUAAUAAUAGAAUGAUAUGAAUUUAUUUCUCAUAUAAUAUGAUGUUGAUUGCAAAAGCGUUUCAAUUAAUCUAACAAUAAAAUAAUAAUAAUAAUAAUAUAAAAGCAGUCAGCAAUUCUUGCUCAUCAUAAUCCAUUCAAAAAGCAUUUCAGCAAUUCUCGUUGUUUAAAAUAAUGAUUUUCUGCGGAAGAGUUUGUUGACUUCGUCUUUUUCGUUGGAUAUUGGUUCUCUAAUCUCUAAAUUUGUUGGAUAAUGUAAAGAGAAACUCAUAAUAUAUUAGUUGCUUUCUUAAACUUUAUUUAUUCUUCUCAUAGCAUUAAAAAAAUAUAUAUAUUUGCCCAAGCGGAAAAAAAAAAAAAAGCUGGUCUUCAUAUUUAAUUUGACCAACAAGUCACUGGGAAGUAGGAAUUGUGUAUCAGUAAUGCAAAUAUUGGGUGCGUUGGCAUUGUUUUUAUAUGCUUUUUUUUUUUAUUUUUUGAAUUUAGAAAACAUUAGAUACGUGUUCGGUAGAUUGUUUCUGAAAAUAUUUUUAAAAAUAUAAAAUUCAUUCUACACAUUUUAACAAAAGAAAUGAGAAACAAUUUUUUCUUAUUUUCCUUAUUUCCCAAUACAAUAUUAAGUUCCAAAAUGAAGAAUUCUCUGUACCUCCUCCUGAAAUAAUAAUAAUAUCAACAUUAUUAUUAUUAUUAUUAUCAUUAGGUCUAAUUAUCCCUAGGUGACAGAUGUUUUAAUAAAUUUCAAAAAAAUGACACAUGUUUUGAAAACACUCGAGUGGGUGACAUUCCAUUAACUUUUGUUGUUAAUUUUAACCAGUCGAGGGUAGAGUUGAAAAAAUAAUUUUUUUUUUCAUAAAGCCAAAGAGAUGAAAAUAUUGAAUUUAUACAGUACUUUAUAAUUCAUAAGAUUUUUGCUUCUUUAUAUUCACAAAUCAGUUUGAUCAACAAGAAUUUUUUAAAAUUUAUUUGAUUUAACAAAAAAAACCUGGUAAUUAGACUUAUGUUUAUUUUUUUAUAUUUUAUAUUUAAAAAAUUAAAAAUGAGUGAGUAUGGGCAGAAACAUCAUUUUGUGGGGUAGAAAAGUCAUUUAAUUUACUAUUCUCAUUAAAAUUAAUGACAAAAGUUAAUAGAAUGUCACUCGCUCAAAUAUUUUUAAAAAAUGUCAUCUUCUUAAAAUUUGUUAAAACAUAUGUCACCUAGAGAUUAUUGUUGUUGUUGUUGUUGUUGUUGUUGUUGUUGUUGUACCCAAAGAAUCAUUUUCCUUCACAAAAAUCUUUUCUUUUUAUAUACAUUAUAAUAUUUAUGUUUUUAUAUAUUAACUAAAUCAAAUAUGUAGGGUUUAUCAUUUUUCUUUGAACAAAAAAAUAGAAAGAUCACCUAAUUUAUUCUUAAAAUUAAAAUAAUCAAUAUACAUUGCUUAAUCUUAAGUUUAUGGAAAUUAUUCCAAUAAUAAUUCUUUGAGAUAUUCUUACCAAACAUAUUUAUGUUUUUCUCAUUUUUCAGAUUAUUUUUUAAAAUGAUACGGAACACAUUUUUAAAUUUUAAAAAUAAAUUUAAAAAUAGCAUUUUCAUUUUUAUUUUGUAAAAACAACAAUUAGAAAACAAUAUUGGGCUAUUAUUUAUCAUGUUUCAACAUAAAAACACAGUGUAAAUUGUUUAAUAUGGGUUUCUAGAGAAUUUUUUAUGUUACUAUUACUCAAAUUCAAUGCUUCCAAGCUUUUGAAUUUAGCUAAUCUUGCAUCAAGAAUUAAUGAACAUAAGAAAAAAAACAUUUCAUUCAGAACUAUAAAUAUUGAAAUAAAGAUAAAUAUCAUUGUUGAUUUUUUUAUAAAAAUGAUUUAGAAUUAAGAGAGAGUGAGAGAAAUGAGCGGGUUAUUUCGGAAAUUGGUGAUAGAGUAUAUCAAGUACUAAACUUUGUAUAGAAAGCAGUGCUUCUAAUUUAAAUUUGAUCUAGUUUAAAGCAAUUAAAAAAUGGAAAUAUAUUAUCAUCUUGAUUAACAUCUAAAACAAUUUUUGUCAUUGGAGGAAGUGAAUUGUUAUAUACCUUGAAUUGUAGUUAUCCCACAAGAGCCAAGAUCCAAUGUUUUCAAGUUUGGCAAAUCUGCGAAUCCUACAUGCGCCGAUAAAAAAUGAAAAUAUUACAUUUAAAGGCAUUGUAUGUGAUCCGCGCGUUUGAUGAACAUUAAUUCUACAUUUAAUUUGCUUCUUAUCUCAGAUUCAGUGGCCUACCUAGCAUUGUCAGAUUUUGAUUAUCGCUUAAAUCCAACACUUGUAGGUUUGUCAAAUUUGCUAAUCCUGUUAAAAAAGGUAAAUUUUGUCAAUAACAGUUAUGUCACUCUCGUCUAAAUUGUUUAAUUAAAAUAAUAUGGUAAAUAUUGAAUGAAAAUUAACUGUGCACAUUGUUAUUUUUUUGUUUAUAUUGAUAUUUUAAUAUAUACCGUCACUUUUAGCAUUACCAAGAUUUGGAGUGUUUGAAUCAUAAUUUGUAAAUUAGUUAGCACUUUGAGUAAACUUGAAAAUGUGAAAAAAGAAAUUAAAAAAUGCAAAUAUAUUAUCAUCUUGAUUAACAUCUAAAACAAUUUUUGUCAUUGGAGGAAGUGAAUUGUUAUAUACCUUGAAUUGUAGUUAUCCCACAAUAACCAAGAUCCAAUGUUUUCAAGUUUGGCAAAUCUACGAAUCCUACAUGCGCGGUAAAUUUUGUCAAUAACAGUUAUGUCACUCUCGUCUAAAUUGUUUAAUUAAAAUAAUAUGGUAAAUAUUGAAUGAAAAUUAACUGUGCACAUUGUUAUUUUUUUGUUUAUAUUGAUAUUUUAAUAUAUACCGUCACUUUUAGCAUUACCAAGAUUUGGAGUGUUUGAAUCAUAAUUUGUAAAUUAGUUAGCACUUUGAGUAAACUUGAAAAUGUGAAAAAAGAAAUUAAAAAAUGCAAAUAUAUUAUCAUCUUGAUUAACAUCUAAAACAAUUUUUAUCAUUGGAGGAAGUGAAUUGUUAUAUACCUUGAAUUGUAGUUAUCCCACAAGAACCAAGAUCCAAUGUUUUCAAGUUUGGCAAAUCUGCGAAUCCUACAUGUGCCGAUAAAAAUGAAAAUAUUACAUUUAAAGGCAUUGUAUGUGAUCCGCGUGUUUGAUGAACAUUAAUUCUACAUUUAAUUUGCUUCUUAUCUCAGAUUCAGUGGCCUACCUAGCAUUGUCAGAUUUUGAUUAUCGCUUAAAUCCAACACUUGUAGGUUUGUCAAAUUUGCUAAUCCUGUUAAAAAAAGGUAAAUUUGUAGUUAUGUCACUCUUGUCUAAAUUGUUUAAUUAAAAUAAUAUGAUAAAUAUUGAAUGAAAAUUAACUGAGCAAAUUGUUUAAUUAAAAAAAUUACCUUCUAAAGAACUGUGUAUAUAAUAAUUAGAACUCAAAUCCAACGCUUCCAAGUUUUUUAAUUUUGCUAAUCUAGCGCCAAGAAAGAAGAAAAAUCUUAGUAAUCAUCUUUGGGAAAAAAAUAAAGAAUUAAGAAAUUAGAUUAAAUAAUUGUAGUAAUAAAGCUUAUGAUUCAGAUCUAAUUAAAUUGAUCAUAUACUCAAAAAUGAUUUUAUUUNNNNNNNNNNNNNNNNNNNNNNNNNNNNNNNNNNNNNNNNNNNNNNNNNNNNNNNNNNNNNNNNNNNNNNNNAUUAAGAAACAAAUUUCAAAGUUAGAUUAAAUAAUUGUAGUAAUAAAGCUUAUGAUUAAGAUCUAAUUAAAUUGAUCAUAUACUCAAAAAUGAUUUUAUUUAUUUAUUUAUUUUUUUAAAUUUUACUAAGACAUUAGAAAGUAAAUUUUGCCGUGUACAUAUUGUAGUCAAGUUUAUCAAGUUUUCCAGUCAAAAAUUGGUUUUAAUUUGACAUUAUACAUAUGUAAAAAUUAAGAGCAUAAUAAUAUCACAAGGAAUUUGGGUAGUGACUUGUUGCCGUGUACCUUGAAUUGUAGUUAUUCCACAACUACCAAGAUCCAAUUUUUUCAGGUUUGUCAAAUUUGCCAAUCCUACACCAACGAAAAGCAAAAUAUUACUUUUAAAAUUAUUGUAGAAGGUUGUGAUUAGUGUGCUAACUUGGUAAUUAUCUCAGUAGCCUACCUAGCCUUGUUAAAGAGCCACUAGUUAUAUUGAAGUUCAAGCUUAGAUCCGACACUUGCAAGUAUCUCAAAUUUACUAAUCUUGCUCAGAAAACAUUAAUUUUGAUCAAGACAAUAUAAAUAUAUAUUUUAAUUAAGAAAUUAAUUAAGUUGCCUGACAUGUAUAUCUGCUGGCCUGAAACGUAUAUGUAUACCUUGCUUGGUUCUGGAACCUUCAAUCUUAUUGUAACUAAGAUUCAGAGUGGUAAGUGAAGUUAGUGUAUUCAAAUAUGGUAAUAUGCUGUCGUUGACGUAAUUAAAACCAAGAUUUAACAUCUUCAGCUGCUUCAAACUCCCAAAGCUAUCGUAAGCUGCAAAUGCAUAUGAAGUGUUAUUAUUAAUUAGUCACUGACAAAAUAUUUAUGGAUGCGAAAUAAAUGUAUACAUAUAUACGGACCUCUAUUCUCAUAGAUGCCUGUAAACCAAUUCUCGGAUAAGUCAAGGCUUUGCAAUUCUUCAAAAGGAUGAAACAAUGACAUAUUCAUAAACGAAGCCGAAGUUCUAUCAUAAUAUUUCAAUCUCCUUGUAUAAUUGAGUGAGAGUUGCAUCACGCGUCUUGUGGUGGCGUUGCACAUAACUCCCUCCCAAGCAUCACAACAAUCAGACGGCAUGCCAUCAUCCUCACCAACCCAUGAAGGAAGAAUUUUGUCAUCAUAGCCAACAUCACUGACUGAUAUGAAGAAGCUCUUGAUUGCCAACAGAGCAGUCCUCUCUGUUUCCAAGCAUGCUUUGUAUCCCUGCAUUUCAUUCAUCAAUACAAUAAUCCAAAUUAGUGACAUUAAUGAGAACUUAAUACAGGAAGUAGUUUCCAUUGCUGAGCAACUUUUCAUUUGGUUAAAAUUAAAUGUGCAAUGAGCAACUUUCCAUUGCAGAGCAAUUUAUACUAAAAGUUUAUCGCAGGUCUUGCAAUUUGAUUGGCUGAAGACUUUUUUAAGACUUUCCAAUACAUCGCCAUCUUUGAAGACUUGUAAGCAUUCCAUGUUUUGCAACAUUCGACCAAUUUUGUCAUCAUAUCCAACAUCACUGAUAAAGUGAUUGAAAUGACAAAACACAUAAAUGUUAUUUGAAGCUCAUGCAUUCGGAUAAGGAAAGUUUCCAUUGCUCCAGUCUACACUCUUCACUACUAUUACAAUCACUUGAAAUGACAAAAAUAGAAAUUUCGUAUGAACUUGGGACCGAUGUACGGGUGCAAUUUAAAUGACCCUAGCUAAUUUUGCAUAUAUUAUUGCAACUACGUGGAAAAUUAAAGUUGACUGACUUUCAAAUUAAGCCAACAAACAAGUGGCUAUCAACUCUUUUCCCUCUAUGAUUGUUUUUUUUUUUUUUUUUUAAAUUGAAUUGUAUGAUUGGGUUUGCAUUGAAUUAUCCAACAAUCUAUUCAAGCAUUGAUAUUUGAUAUUCUCAAAUAUUUAAUGGGUUUUGAAAAUUAUUUACUAGAUUUUUGAUAAAUUGAUUUUUAUUAUUUCAUGAUCAAUAAUUAAUCAAGUAAUUUUCUAUAUAUAUAUAUUUGGUAAUUUACUCAUAAAAAGUGUGGAUCACAUUGAAAUGUUAUUUUAUAUGAUGCAUGACAUACGGAGAGGUGCAGUUUAAAUGCGCAAAUAAUUUAUUAAUUAUAACAUGCAAUCAUUGAGUUAAAGCGCAAGCGUGAGUUUGGAUUUGAAAUAUUCAAAUAAUUUAUUUCAUUAUUGAUUCUUAAAUAACAUGCUUUGGAAUUAAUAGUUCGAUAGGAUGUUUGAUAUAUUAAAAUUUGUGAUAAUCAAUAAUCAACUAAUUUUCAUUCAUAUUUAAAGAUUUUAAUAAAUUACUCAUAAAAUUGUGGCGUAUAUUGAAAUGACAAUCAAUCUUGAUAUUGACUGACAAUCAAUUUUUAUAGUGAUUGGCACUUAAGACAAUCAGUUUUGGUCUCCGUAAUGACUAAUGAAGAAUUGUAAGCCUGAAAUUCCACAUGUUGCAAUGUUGGACCAAUGAGGGAAAUGCUUCAUUAACAUUACAUGGAAAAUAAAUGUUGACUGACUUUCAAAUUAGACCAACAUACAAGUAGUCGUCAAUUCUAUUUUUUCCAACAGUUGAUAAAGAUGGCUAGUUAAGAAAAAAAAAGUUGAUUGAGAUAAUUUAAAGAAUUUAAGCGUAAGUUUGGGUUUGAAAUUAUCAAAUAAUUUAUUCCAGCAUUGAUUCUUAAAUAAUGUACUUUGGAAUUAAUAACUCGAUAGGAUGUUUGACAUAUUGAAAUUUGUGAAAAUCAAUAAUCAAUUAUUUUUCAUACAUGUUUAGACAUUUUAAUAAAUUACUCAUAAAUUUGUGGUGUACACCGAAAUAAUAAGUUAUUAUAAAUUUGUGGUGUACUCUUGAGUCCCUUUGUAUCCUUGCAUUAAUUUGAAUCAAAGCUCGAAUUAAAAUCAAAGACCCAUAUUGAGAAUUUAUAUAAAUAACUUAAGAGUAUGAUUGGGUUUACAUUGACUUAUAUAUAUCAAACAAUAUAUUCAAGGGCUGAUAUUCUCAAAAAAAAGAAAAAAAAAAAGACAAUCAAUCUUUGCGUCAACUGAUAUUAUUGAUUGGUAAUAAAUCUUAGUAGUGAUUGACAAAGCUUGGGAAAAUCACUCUCGGUGAUUAAUAGUCUUCGUCCUCAUCUUUGUUUUGAUCGUUGUGAUAGAGGAUGAGUGGUGCGUAAGAGAGGGUUCAUCGCUUGCGGAAUUUUCGCGGCCAUUCAAGAAUCAGGAUGGUUGUUGUAGAAUUCCACGAGAAUUGGCCGUGCAAUUAGGGAAAGUUCAAUAUUAAUUUAUACUAAAAGUUUAUCAUAGGCCAAUCACGGUGACCACCAAAACCUAUGAAUGAUUAGUCCAUCGAAACCCAAUGUAUGCUCAAUUAAUAUUUCCUAUCAAGAUCAAAAUUUUCACUCUAUUGCUUCACCAAUCAUGCGCAUAAAAGCUCGAUUUAUACAAAACUUACGAAUUUAUGAAAAAAAAAGUCACAAUUAUUAUAAUUGGAAGUUUGAUUGAUUUUUAAAGAUUGAUUCAAUCAAUCUUAAUGUUACUGGACAAUCGAUCUUAAUAUUAAUUCAAAAUCAAUCUUUAUAGCAAUUGACACAGAUAAAGAUAAUUAGUUUUGGUCUCUAUAAUGAUUGACGAAGACUUGUAGGACCUGCACCAAUGAGGAAAAAUGCUUCAUUAAUACUCCAUGGAAAAUAAAUGGUGACUGACUUUCAUAUAAUCGAUUGACGUAUAAUUAUAAUUAUAUAAUCAAACACGCACACUACAAGGCGACCUUCGAUUGACGUAUUCUGUCAACUAACCCAUGGGACAUGGAGUGCUAAAACCAUAAUGUACGCCAGUAUGAAUAAUAUCAUCAAUCAAACCAAAAAAAAAAAAAAUUGAUGAAUAAUAUAGUUCCAAGCAGUGCUAAAACCAUAAUGUACGCCAAUAUGAGUUUAUCCAAAGUCACCGGCUACACCAAUAUCAUAGUGACAUAGGAAGCGAUGAGGAAAUUUACGAAAGAUUUAUUAAAUGAUCAGAGACUUUCUGCAAUUUCAUUGACUUAUUCUACGAUAAUUAUAAUCAAACACGCACACUGCAAGGCGACCUUCGAUUGACGUACUCUGUCAACUAACCCAGGGACAUGGAGGAUGUGUGUUGACGUUAACCAAUAGCCAAGUUUAUAAACACAAUCAAGCAAUCGUAUCAUCAAUCAGAGCCACAUUCGACGCAUGACUAGUAAAUAUCAUAAUUGAGUUUGAGGACCACAGCCGCACGGUGAAAGAAUUUGAAUGGAGGAAAAGCAAAGGAAAAUGAAAAGGAAAAGAGGGGAAUGCUAAAGAAAAAUAAGCUGAUUCAUCAGUAACUCCAUAUGACAUUUUUUUUUUAAAAUAAGCAUACCGUGGGGGGUUAGGCGGGACCCCUACCUGUCAUUUAUAAAAGAUAAUGAAAGAUACAAGGAGGGGGACAAAAACCAAAACCUCCAAUCAAGAGAAAAAAAUACAACAGAAAAAUAAAAGAUUAAGGCAUAGCCUAACAUGAGAAUCAUAAUAAAAUGACUAAUGAAGACGGUGAUAAUAUGUCUUACGAUACUUACGGCCGGUAAGUAAUUUAAAUCCCUUUUUCGAUUGACCAACAAUGCUAAAAUCGGGACUUAAGUCUAUUCUCUCAGAAUUCUCAGGAGCAGAUAAAAAGUGUUCGUUAUUCGCCAGGUGCUCGUCAGAACUAUCAUCAUUAUCAGUAUGAGAAUUGUAAUGCCUAAAAUCUGUGCUGGAUGCUCGAUGAAGAUGUGGAUUAUACUCACCAAUGCUCCGCAGGGGAGACAAGCUUUGAUCACGAGGUUCCUUAGAAUCAUGAGUUGUGUCAUCUUGGGCAAUCGGCUCCUGAACGGAUGUAGAAUUUGUAACGUUAGGCCGGUUCUCCGAAGGUUUAGUGAUCGGGGACCCCGCGUCUACAAUCUGCUUAGUGAUGGAAAGCUCAGGUCGAGGAGUAUCUGAGGGUUGUGGAGUAUCUGACGGUAGAACUUCUGACUUCUUACCAUCUUCUACUCUGGUCUGCCGAUUCCCACUGGGUCGCUGGGGACGAAGCCUCGGAUUGGCCACGUAACACGUCUCAAUGGUAUGGCCAAGGUGCUUGCAGGAAGCACAAUAGAGUGGGAUUUUCUCAAAAAUUACAUUUUGCCAAAAUCCAGAAUCUCCCACCCCGAUUCGUAUCCUUGGCAAAGGAGGUUGGGUAACAACAUACUCCACUAAUACCCUAGCUACAGAAGGGCGAGCUAAAGAGGCAGUAGCUUGGUCAAUUCGCAAUGGCUUGCUAAUAGCUGAUGCAAUAGAAAAUAAUGCUUCCUUACAGUGCAUGAAGUGGACAGGCAAGUAAGGAAAUGAGAUCCAUACUGGAACUAUAGGGGACUCCUCAGAGCACCGAAAAUCGGUGGUCCAUUUAAAAAUUCUCAUGGCACUCCCAUUAAUGUGCCAUGUCUGCCUAACCCAUAGGCGGGAAUAGUCAUCCUCAACGUCCAAUUGAAUUAACACAUGUCGAUUAUCUAGUAAAGACACCUUAAAAGUUCCCUUCAAUCUCAAAGAAGUAAAAAAUUUACGAAUUAAUUCCAUACUAGUCUAUUAUAAGAAAAUUUACCAACCAAUGUCAACUUGAAGGGAAUGGCCAUCGCUUCAAUUUCCGCAACGGAGAAUUGCACGUUAGGCUCUCCCCCGAAAGAAGUAACGGUCUUGAUUGGAACCAUCGAGCUAGUUGGGCCGAUCAUAAUAUCCAUAAACGAACUUUUAUUGGUUCUCUUUUGAUUCGAAUUGGGGACGGAAUUCAAAAUUGAGGCAUAAGAUGGUGCGGAUGUGGGCGGUGUAGCAUUUUGAGUCAACGGGGUAAAUUGGGGAUUAUUAGAAAUGAGUGUUGAGGGCAUUCGGGAGGGCUGGUUGUUGGGGUCAGAAAUGGAUUGGGCUUGGGAUUGAUUAGUGGGAAAUGCUAAUGGGACAGGGGGAAGGCUAGUGGGAAACACACAUGGGGGACACAAAUCAUGCGCGGCCGAAAGUGGUUCAUGUGCAUGUGGAGCAACAAGCUGCUGCACGCGUGAAGACUUUUGGGCUGGGAUGUUUGCUCAUGGCUGCUGCACGCGUGGAGACUUUUGGGCUGGGAUGUUUUCUGAUCUUGACUGGAUUCGGUGGUGUUUGCUUGCAUGGGGAGCUGACAAUCGCCGGUCAGCAGCUGCAGCUGGCUGUGAACACUGUUCCGAGUGCGUGUGUGUGAGACUUUUUGGCUCGUGGGGGUUGUUUGUGUAGGAUAUGGUUGUGGCUGACUGGAUUUAACCACGGUGGUUGCAUCUUGAAGAGGUUCUUGAUUAAAUUGGCCAUGAAGCACGGGCUGGUUUUGAGAAUGCAUAGGGGCUGUAACAGCUGGCUGAUCGUCUCCCGAGUGAUCAUGUAUGGCUUGUGUUGGCUGCGGACUAGAUGCUGGAAGCUGGUUUGUGUUAGCUUGUGAAGGCUUGGUUCGAUUUGAAGGUGAUGAUGGCUCGACGGUUGGAAGGUGGUCAUGGCUAGUUAAGGUUGGAGUUUGCUGUUGAAGGGAUGACGAUGGCGAUGGUGGUUGAUUGGCUGUGUUUACGGAAGUUGGUGGCUGUUGGGGUUGGAUGGCUGGCGAUUGGCUUUUAUAUUUUGAACGAGUUUUCCUUUGAGAUCUCCUAAGAAAAGGAAAUUCGUUUUUGGAAGUGAGGGGGAGAAUCGGUGGAGGCUGGCUGCCAUUACCAUCAGCCGGUAAGUUCAUGAUAGCCGGCUCGUGAAGGGAUGGUUGAUUUGCUGCAUCAUGGCAGCCUUCAUGAGACGUUUCUUCUUGUUCACUUACGACAACAGAGGUGGGUAAGGGCUGCCGAAAUUUCGAGAGGAUAGAGGCAGUGGAUGUCGGUGGUUGAUCAGCAUGAUGGUGGAUUGGAGAUGGAGGGUCUGCAUGGGAGUGGUUUGGAGAGAAAUGAUUUGGUUGUGUGGAUGGAUUGAGGUCAUUUUGCCGCUGGAGUGAUUUGAUUCGCGGUGGUGACAGUUGGACGUCAGGCGGUGGAUCAUUGGUGAAUUUUGGGGGUCGUCUAAAUGAUUUCUUAGGAGGGAUCAAACUCCUAAUAAUUCGUUCUUCGGCGGAGAGGGUGUUGACCGGUGAUGACUGGUUGCCAUCACCGGAGGCCGGAGAGGCCAUUAAGGCCGUUUAAGGCUUAGGGGGGGGGCUUGAUAGAUAGUCUUCAAACCAUUUGUUCCGGUCACUUAUUUUUCUAAACAAACCAAUUCACCCAGUUUCCCCUCCAUGACUACUUUUAGCCUCCGUGUGAUUCAAAAUAAUUAACACAGACGUCCUGCGUGUCACAUGUAACGAGCUAAUUCUGUUAAGGCCUUCACUCCAUAGUCUUAAGAUCUCAGUGAACAAUAAAUUCUUCAGAUUCAAAUGGCAAAUGAAUUGCACAACAAGGCAUAAACCCCGCUUGAAGGCAACCCGCUAUAAUUAAUACAUAAAAAGUUCAAUUGCUCAUAAAAGAAAGAUACAGUAAACUAGUGGUAUUGUAGUAUAAACAAUACUGGUUUUUCUAUCUUGGUGGUUUCUUGAUAGUGUUCAAAUAUCAGUCCUCGAAGAAAGAUAGAGGAAAGCUAAAGAAAAAUAAGCUAAUUCAUUAUUGACAUAAUGUGACAAUUGCACGCAACUCUUGGAUGUUUUUAGCCACCGAAAUUUUUAACAUUAAUGAUGAAUUACAAAUAUGUGAAUGAAAACUUAGAAACAAAUUUUUGCUGUGAAAGAAAGUAAAAGAGAGCAGAGAAACAAAAAACAGAGGAUUUCAUUCGUCAUUCAUAACUGAUUUUCCUAGUGCAAAUGCGCAAGGUUGAACAUUCAAAAUCCAUAAUUCUAAAUCAAAAUCACCAACAGACACCUGUACAUGAAAUAUUCAGGCCUUCACUCUGGCCUUAAGACCUCAUGUACGAGAAGUUCGUCAGAUUCAUAUAGCAAAUGAAUUGCACAAGAAGGCAUAAAAAUUAGUAUAUUUUUCAAGAACCGAGCUUGAAAGCAAUGAAAUAAAAAUUAAUACAUAAAAGUUCAAUUACACAUAAAAGAAGGAUAACGGUAAACCAUGGCCAGGCAAGAUCACGGAUGAAAUAUACAAAUUUCACAAGCCAAUAUAAACAACAAUCAGUGCAUGCAUCAAUGAAAGAAAACCGUGGCCACUGCCAAUACGAGUUCAACCAAAGGAUUCAUCUUAAUUGCAGAUUCAUCUUCGUCUUCUCCUCGAUUGGAUGUUAUUGCUAGAUUUUCCUCUGUUCUGGUGCAACUCUUAUUAAUUGUUGGACCACAACGACCCAGAUUAUAACUCUUUUCAUCAAACCUGCCAAAUUGUUUUUUGUCUGGGAUCAGACCAGACAAGUUCUUGUAUGACUCGUUAAAGUUGGAUAAAUAGUUGAUGAGUGAUCUGAAGAUCACCGAUCAGAAAAUUUUUCAUUUAUGUUUGUGUAAAUUAUUCAUAGUAUGGUCUACUAUGAAAUUACAAAAAUAAGCAUAGUAAAUUUGAAUAAAGGAAAGGAAAAUGAGAAGGAAAACAGAGGAAGGCUAAGGACAAAUAAGCUGAUUCAUCAGUAACUCAAGAUCACAACUUUUGGAUGUUUUUAGCCUCCGAAAUUUCAACAAAUAUUCAAGUGAUGUGAGGUUGGUCAAGGUAGAAGGAAAGUUUCCACUUAAUUGAAACUUUGAGCUUAGAUCCAACUCAAAAGGAUUCUUCAAAUUACAUAGUCCUGAACUUGAAAAUAAAAGAUCAAAAUUUUAUAGAAUGAAAACUAAUUAUAGCGAAUUCGAUCAAAAUCCAGUACAAGACUUAGAGAACAGACAAAAAUCAAAUUGCCUAAUUAUUUUGGUCAGCACAAAUAAUAAUAGAGUAAUGUGAACUUAUUUCUCAUAUAAUAUGAUGUUGAUUGCAAAAACGUUUCAAUAAUCUGGAAAAAGGGAAAAAAAAUAAAAUGCCCUCAGCACUUUUUGCUCAUCAUAGCCCGAAGUCCUUCUUGUUUAACAUUAUGAUUUUCUGAGGAAGAAUUUGUUCACUUGAUGUUGUUCAUUGGACAAUGGUUCUGUAACCUCUAAACCUAUUGGAUAAUGUAAAGAGAAAUUCAUAAUAUUUUAGUUGUCUUCUUAAAUAAUAAAUUGUCUCAAAAUACAAUUAAUUUGUCUUAAAUUUAAUUUAUUCCUCAGCAUUCAAAGAAAAACAAAAACAAAAAAAGAAAAAGAAAAACGACCUGGUCUUUAUAUGUAAUUUUGUCCAAGUACUUUGAUCAACAAAUCAUUAGGAAGGUGGUGUAUCAGUGAUGCAAAUAUUUAAUUAUCAUGUUUCAACAUAACAAUUCUGUGUAAAUUGUUCACUUUAUGUUUCUAGAGAACUGUUUAUAUUAUUAUUACUACUCAAAUUCAAUGCUUCCAAGUAUUUGAAUUUAAUUAGCUAAUCCUGUAUCAAGAAUUAAUUAAUGAACAUAAGAUAAAUGUCAUAUUAGUUAGAUUUAGAUUUUUUUUUUCCAGUUUUGAUGUAUAGAUAAAAAUAAUACUUCAAAAGCAUUGAAAUGUAAGAGCUAUUAAAAAAAUGCUUUUCAUUCAAAGCUAUAAGUAAUGAAAUGAAGAUAGAUAUCAUUGUUGAUUUAAAAAAAAUCAGAAAAAAAAAAAGAAAAGAGUGAAAGAAAAGAGCAGGUUAUGUUAGAAAAUAGUGAUAGAGUAUGUUAAGGACUAAAAUUUAUUAAAGAAAGCAGUGGUUCCAUUUGAAAUUUGAUCAAGUUAGAAUUAGUCAAUUAUGCAUCGAGAAUCAAAAGAAUGAAGAAAGGGAAUUCAAAUUAGACUUACAAAAUUAUAAUAAAGUGAUUAGUUAAGAUCCAAUUAAGCAGAUUUACUAAAAAAAAUAUUGAAAAAUAAAGGGCCAUAACAUUGCCAAAAGGACUAGGAAACUAAGUAGGAAGGGCUGAUUGUUGCGGAAUACCUUGAAGUGUAGGUUAUUCCACAACCACGAAGACCAAUUGCUUUCAAGUUUGUCAAAUAUGCCAAUCCUACAACAAUAUAAAGCAAAAUGUUACUAUAAAAUUAUUGUAGAAGAUUGGUAUUUUCAGUAGCUUACCUAGCCUUCUUAAAGCGCCACUUGUUAGAUUUUCAGGUUAGAUCCAACACUUGCAAGUUUCUCAAAUCUGCUAAUCCUACUCAGUAAACAUUAAUUUUGAUCAAAUCAAUAUCCUUGAUUGAAUAUAAAAUUUAUGAUUAAACCAAUAAAAUUUAUUCUACUUGAUUUUUGUACAAUUUUUUUUUCACUUGAUCAGCUGUUUUAUUCCCUUAAAAUAAAUGAAUUAAAAAAAUGUUAAUUGUUUUACGAGUUAAUAAUUUUAUAUUUAUUUAUUUAUUUAUUUUACCUUCUAUUUAUUAGUCUUUUGAAUAAUUUAUAAGAUUUAACAAUUGUAUUAGAUGUAAUAUUUUUAAAAAAAAAACUAUUAGCAUUUAUUAUUUAAUAAAUCUAUUUAGAUAUUUUUAAAAUUUGUUAUUGAUGAUAGAGUUUGGGUCAAUGGUCAACAAUUAAUAGUUACUAUGAUUUUUUUUUCCCUCCCUUUCUAAUUGAUAGAUUUCAUGUGUUCCGAAAACGAAGUUUAAGGAAAAAGAAAAGGAAAAGGAAAAGGAAAAAAAAAUGGCUGUGAGGCCACUUUCCCUGGGUCUUGGUUGCAAUGCGCGCAUGUACACAGGCUGAAGCCAGCAAGAUGGUAUCAUAAGUUAACAAUGAGAACCUUACUCUGAGAACAAGGUAUAAUUUGCUCACAUCAGUUAAAACAUAAGUUAGGUUGUGAUUUAUUGAUUGCACAUUCACCACAGGCACGUAUUGGGAGGAUAUUUAAGCCGAUCAUCAUCUCAGGUAAUCUUUCUUAGGAAUUGGAGAAAUGAAGCUAAAAGAGCACCAAUAAUUUCAAACAUAUAUACCUUGCUUGAUUCUGGAACCUUCAAUGUUAUUGGAACGAAGAUUCAGAGUGGUAAGUGAAGUUAGUGUAUGUUGAGUACAUAAAAGCACCAGGUCGGCCAUACUACUAUUUCCGCCCCAGCAAGGAUCACCUCAGCCAAAUGGUACGAGCAGAACCGGGGGCAACACGAGCCGAGCAGAGACGAAUACUGACCAGAGGCAUAUACCGAGCCGAUACCUGUCCCCCAAGAGGCGGGAACACGAUCUCACAAGAUCGCGGCAGUUGCGCUUUCCCAGAACCGUUGCAGGAGACGCGAGAUCCCACGUUUGCCCAUAAUGCAGCAGUUAGAGUCCCAUGAGGGGCUGCCACGACCCGAAAAAGGUGGGACGAAGGGCAAAAUGGAAACAUGGGGACAGUGGCUAUAAAAGAAGAAGAAAUCGACAAAGAAGGAGACAGAAAAAUUGAGGGAGGGAAAACGCUGCCAAAUUUCAACCAGGCCAUUUUCUUACAAAUCUCUAACAAACUUCUUGAAUCCAAAUUACAUUGUUUUCCCGUGAACACCUUGUGCUAACUUAAGCAUCGGAGGGUUUACGCCGGCAAAACCACCAGAAUCUGGUCGGUCCAAGGGCGAGCAGAUUUCAGCAUCAACAUUUUGGCGCCGUCUGUGGGGAGCUGGAUAAAAAGCUACCACCGAAUUAGUAGUUACCGGAGAAACAGCGAACGAUUAGACAUGGAUGUGCCAAGGAAGGACGCUUUGAGGGAGGAUAACGAAUCGGGGGAGACAAUCACCCUUCGGGAAAUUGCAAAUGAAGCCCGAGAGAGGGUGAUGUAAGAUCGGUUGGAACGAAUGGAGAAGCAAAUGGAGACUCUCGCUACCAUACUGAAUGAGCUGAGAGAUGAGCGGAGAAGGGAUUUCGAAAUCCCCGUGGGGAGAGAUGAUGUUGGAGCAGAACUCAACCUCCGGAGGUGUAGAAUCGAGGAAAUCCCUCCGCCGGCGGACCAACCUUAUGGGGUGCAUCCCCACAGAAGCACUGGUCGGGUUCCUGGAGAACAAGUAGUUGAAGGGAGGAACCAACCUCGCCCCAGGCUAGUACCGGAAGCUGAUGGCCGAGGGGCCAGUGCUGAUGAAGGAGAGUUAAGACAGCGGUUGCAGAAUGUCGAGCAGGAGCGAGAUCAGAUAGCUGCACGUGAUCCUGACCGUGCUGUAGAAUUGGAGGGAGAGGUGCGCAGAUUAGCCAGGAGUUGGCCGAGCAGUUCCGAGGGGCAGUGGCCCCAGAGGACGACAUGAUGGAACUGAUGGGGAUGAAACAGGAGGAGCAUGAAUCCCUUCGAGGAUUUGUAAAACGAUAUCACCGAGCCGUGCUGGAUCUGGGAGCUUUUAAUCACCCGCAGGCGUUGAGGGGAUUAAAAGAAGGUGUAAGAAUCGGUUGACUGUGGUAUAACUUAAGAAGCCCCCUUGUACAGAAUUACUCGUCGGGGUAUGAGCAGGCGAGGCGAGAUAUAGAAAUCGAAGAGGAGAAAUCGGCAAGAAUAAAAAGUGAACAGCUGGACGAGCUGAGGUGAAAGGAACGGAGAGCCCCGACAGGGAGCGGGUCGGGAAAGCGAACUGGAGAAUCUUCAGGGAUGGGCGGAAUAUCAGCUCGGUCCCGCCCUUACCCCAUAGCUCCGAGAGCACAACAGUUCCAACAUAGCCGGGCUCAACCUCCGCGCCCCCUGAUCCCAGAGCGGCAGCAAGAUUUCCGGCAGAUGGCUGCCCACCCCUAUCACAACACUCCCAGAGCAUUACAUGCAACCAAUUCCAGGGCUAGACGACCAGAUCAGUUAGAGACUGUGCCAGCCCGAGGUGACAUUCACGAUAGCCGAGCAGUUCAGCUGGUAGACCAGAGCUUGGCAUAUAGACAGUACACUCCAUUAAAGAUCUCCCUGGAGGAAUUGUAUGAGAGGAUCGAGGGACGAGGCCUGCUGUAUCCUCCAGCCCCAAUAACAAAACCGACUUACCGACGGGAUAAGAGCUGAUUCUGCAAAUUCCACGACACUCACGGUCACACUAUAAGCCAGUGUCGUGACCUGAAGAUUCAGGUGGAGGAUUUAGUGAGGAACCGAUACUUGGACGAGUAUGUAGAUGGAAUGUCCCCUGUCGUGGAAUCACAGUACACACGGGAUGAAGGAGUUGAGAGGGAUCUGGAACGUGAACAGCCGACCAUCCGUGUGAUAGCAGGAGGUCCAACAUUGGCCGGGGAUUCGAACAGAGCACGGAAGAACUAUGGGAGAUACGCCAUGACUGGCAAAGAGGUGCUUCUGAAUUUGCCAGCAGCCAAGAAGGCAAGAGUACGACAAGUUCCCAUUAUGUGGACGGAGGAUGACGAAGAGGGCAUUUUGUACCCUCAUGAGGAUGCACUGGUGAUUAAAGCAUUAGUGGCUAGCACAGAGUUGAGGCGAAUACUGGUGGACACGGGCAGCUCAGUCGAUAUUCUGUUUAAAUCGGCCCUAGAUGAUAUGGGGAUUUCAGACUUAAAGCUGGAGCGGACGAAUACAUCCUUGAAGGGAUUUGGAGGGGGACGAUUAACUCCCAUGGGGGUCAUUGAACUCCCGAUUACUGUGGGGACAAAGCCGUUUGAAAGAACGAUGAUGCUGGACUUUGUCGUAGUAGAGGAAAGAAGUCCUUACCAGAUGAUACUGGGGAGACCGUUCAUGAGGAUAAGCCAAUGCGUAAUGUCCACGCAUUAUCUGGCGCUGAAGUAUAGAAUAAAUGGAGUUGUGGGUGUAGUAAAAGGCGACCAGAGAAUGGCGAGGAGCUGCUAUGCUACAGCGGCCAAGGAAACGCUGCAGGUUACCUCUCUAGAUAGCCGAGGGGAUUCAAAAAAUAGUCGCCAGGAACCUGUUGAGAAGCUGGAGGAGGUUAUUGUAAGCAGGAGUGACCCUAGCAGGGUCACACGUUAUUACAACAAGAACGUACGUGUGAGGCAGUUCCGAGCAGGAGAUUGGGUGCUCAGGAAGGUGAACCAAAAUACCAAGGAUCCUAACCAUGGAGCUCUUAGUCCGAAAUGGGAAGGCCCGUACAGGGUGAUACGAGCAACUGGUCCGGGAGCUUAUAAGUUAGCGUACCGAGAUGGACGAGACGUGAAGAGGUCAUGGAACGCCGAGCAUUUGAAGAAGUAUUUCCAGUAAGCAAAAUACUCUACUAAAUCUUCAAUUUGAUAAGUUAUAUUGGUCAAAUGCAUGGUGGCUUGGUGCACAUGCAUAUGUUUUGUACUUUUGUAACGCAUUCAAAUUUCAAUAAAGAGGAAUUCAGCAUGAAAUCCCCCGGCUAAUAAGCCCAUCAAAAAUCUGCUAAGGCAAGUAAAUGCCUACUUCUGCUCGGUCAACGAAAGACCAGCAACUAAAUUUACGAAGAUUUUACCAAGGCAAGUAAGUGCCUACUUCUGCUCGGUCCACGGAGGACCAGCAGCUAAAUUGACGAAGAUUUUACCAAGGCAAGUAAGUGCCUACUUCUGCUAGGUCCACGGAGGACCAGCAGCUAAAUUUACGAAGAUUUUACCAAGGCAAGUAAGUGCCUACUUCUGCUAGGUCUGCCUACUUCUGCUCGGUCAACGAAAGACCAGCAACUAAAUUUACGAAGAUUUUACCAAGGCAAGUAAGUGCCUGCAUCUGCUAGGUCAACGAAGACCAGCAGCUAAUUUAUCAAAUGCUCCUAAGGCGAGAAAGUGCCUGCUUCUGCUCGGUCAACGAAGACCAGCAGCUAAUUUCUCGAAAGUUUCGCUAAGGCAAGUAAGUGCCUGCAUCUGCUCGGUCAACAAAGACCAGCAGCUAAUCCUACGAAAAUCCUACUAAGGCAAGUAAGUGCCUAGUCCGGCUCGGUCAAGGAAGACCAGCAACCAGUUUUGUCUGCUCGGUCAACGCAAGACCAGCAGCUAACUCUACAAGAAAUCUACUAAAGCAAAUGCCUACUUCGGCUCGGUCAACGAAGGACCAGCAGUUAAUCCUACGAAAGGCAAAACUAAGAUACAAUCUAUGAGCAAAAACCGGACAAGAAAGCAAAUAAAGAGCAUUUAAAAAUCUUUUUAUAAAUGUUCAAUUGUUUACAAAACAAAUGCAAAUCUAGAGUCUAUACAAAAAUAGGCUCAAAGCUUAGCAGAGUCAACGGCUCCAGCGGCUGAAGGAUCAGCGAGCCCGGGAAGUGAGGGAUCAGCAACAUCAGGAGGUGGGAGAUCAGCAAUACCGGGAGGAGGAGGCAUGGACCCUUGACCCAUUUCGAAAGUGCGUCCCCCAGCAUCCCCCUCUUCCACCCCACCCGAAGGAACCUCCACCCGAUCCUGCUCACCCUGCUCCUUAUCUCCCUGGCCGGCCCCAGCCAUAUAUCUCUCCACCCCAGCCUCCAGCUUGCUCAUGUCGAGCUCGGGGUAUUCUUCCGUGAGCACAGACAUGAUGCACUUAUAGCUGAAAGCAACCCCGGAGUCAUACUUGGCAUCCAGCCGAUCAUCCACAUCAGCGGAUUUGCCUUUCUCUUCAGCCAGUUGGUCACUCAGGGAUUUGAUCUCUCCCUCAAGGGCGGUCCUCAGAGUAUCUCUCUCACUUUGAGUAGCCUGAAGAUCGGACUUCAGAUCACCCAACUCGCCCUCAAGCUUGGAGGAAGUGGACUCAGCAACAGCAACUUUCUCCUCAAGCUCCGUAAGCUGCUUGUUCAGCUCGGCCAUUUUUUCCUUGGACCGAUCAGCAGAUUCGGCUUUCUUUUUCAACUCCUGGUUAUCAGCUUGAAGCUUCUUCUCAUGACGCGCGGACCUGGUCUUGUAGCACGAGACCAUUGUGGCCAGCCUGAAGGAGACUCUCUGAACAGAAGCAGCCAACUCGGAGAGGCUCAUGCUCUCGAUCUCCUUCACCAUCUUGGGCCCAACCGACUUUUUAUAAUCCUUCUGAUAUGGGCUCAGGUAGUCACCUUGAUCCCGAGAUGGAAGAGGAGAAGAUCGGUCCCCAGACUGCAAGCUGACCUCAGGACUCUUGUCGGAGGUUUUCUCCCCAACACUCUUACGAGGUGGAGGAGGGGGCAGAGCAGGAACAGGCGCCUUGGAAGGACCAACGCUAGGUUUCUUCGGAGGAGGAAGAGGGUUGCUGGAGCUACUCGGGGCCCGACCACGCUUCCUGCUCAUCGCACUGAGGAUCUUGUUAUCCAUUCCAGCGGCUAUGUCCACUAGCCCCGAGCCGACCAGGUUUGUUGGAGACAGGAGGUCUUGGCAGGUUUGCUGGACACCACUUUCCCCCAGCAAAGAAGAAUUUGUUCUUCCAAUUUUUGCACGAGGAGGGGAAACCGGUGAUUGGCUUUCUCUUCGCAGAACUGGACAUGAAGUAGUACCAGCCCGCCUCCCUUGGGCUGCUCCGCAGCUGAUACAGAUGUUUCACUUCAACAAGGGAAGGCUCCUCCGACCCGCACCUCUCCCACAACACAAACAUUACCAAGAGAACCCUCCACCCGUUCGGGUGUAGCUGACCUGGGGCCAGGUGCAUACCUCCUAAUAUCUUGGCAAAAUAACGUUGCAGGGGCAGCCGAGCUCCUAGUUUAGGCUAUGUAAUCAAUAGGGUAGGAAUCAGCCUCCACCCUAUGGCCAAGAUUCCUUUUCUUAGCAGGUCCACUCGGUCCAGAACUGCUCCCCUCACCAUCACCAACUCCUUCAGGGAUCCCAACCCCACCAAAGCUGUGGUUCUCACCAGAGCCCGAAGCAGUUCCACCUCUAUUCCCUACAAGCUCUGGUUCGGGGGAGGGAGAGACAACCAAGGGGCGUGGGUACUCAAGGGUACCCCUACCAUGGGAAGGACCUACACUACUGGAGGGACCUAAGAAAUCAGUGGGUAUUGACACAUUGAGGCCUGAAUCCCCUGAUUCUUCAUCACCCUCAUCAACAAUUAACUUUCUCUUUCGGUUUGACAUAUCGGAAUCUCAAAAAGAAAACAAAGAAAACUCGAAUAUACGGAUACACAAGGGGGCAACACGGAACCCAAUCAACAACAACCAGAGAAGAGAUUAAAAGCAGUACCUGAAAUGAACUGGCCUUGAUAGCGCUGCCGUGACCGAGAAAAAACCAGCAAGUAGAAGCCUCGGACGCAGGAAGUAUGAGUAAAGUGCAGAAAAUGGGGUAGGUUAACGACGGAGAGACGAGUAACAAAACGAUGACGAUGUGAGUCUAGGGAUUUGAAACGAAAAGGGGGAAAUGAAAGCAUUUAAGUGAUGGAGACGCACCGUACAUCGAGGACAGAUAGCCCGUCGUUUUAAAUUUCAAAUAUGAAGAGUCUGGAGAUGCCACAUCACUAACCGUUACAAGGGGCCAGGAUAGAUGUAAGCCCAGAUAUGCAAUGGACAUGCUCAUUUAGGCCCAUACUCAGGUCGAAAUCUCCCCAGAAGAAAAAUGGUACCUCAGAUCCGUCUCAGUAAACAGAAGACCAGAUGAGAGGCUCCCCGGGUUGGUGAGUUUUGACAAUCAGUUUCUACUCUUCACUCGUUUCACUCGCCAGACCAGAAACUGGGGGACUGGUGUUGAGUACAUAAAAGCACCAGGUCGGCCAUACUACUAUUUCCGCCCCAGCAAGGAUCACCUCAGCCAAAUGGUACGAGCAGAACCGGGGGCAACACGAGCCGAGCAGAGACGAAUACUGACCAGAGGCAUAUACCGAGCCGAUACCUGUCCCCCAAGAGGCGGGAACACGAUCUCACAAGAUCGCGGCAGUUGCGCUUUCCCAGAACCGUUGCAGGAGACGCGAGAUCCCACGUUUGCCCAUAAUGCAGCAGUUAGAGUCCCAUGAGGGGCUGCCACGACCCGAAAAAGGUGGGACGAAGGGCAAAACGGAAACAUGGGGACAGUGGCUAUAAAAGAAGAAGAAAUCGACAAAGAAGGGGACAGAAAAAUUGAGGGAGGGAAAACGCUGCCAAAUUUCAACCAGGCCAUUUUCUUACAAAUCUCUAACAAACUUCUUGAAUCCAAAUUACAUUGUUUUCCCGUGAACACCUUGUGCUAACUUAAGCAUCGGAGGGUUUACGCCGGCAAAACCACCGGCGUCUCUGAUCCGUUUUUGCUGAACGCAGGUCUGGUGAGAGAGGGAAGGGCGAUUCCAACCCCAGUGGUUCGAGUGACAGUUGAUAACACAAACGUUGGUGAUAGAAUCUGGUCGGUCCAAGGGCGAGCAGAUUUCAGCAUCAACAGUGUAUUCAAAUAUGGUAAUAUGCUGUCGUUGAGGAAAUUACCACCAAGAUUUAAGAUCUUCAGAUGUCUCAAACUCCCAAAGCUGUCGUAAGCUUCAAAUGCAUAUGAAUUACUAUCAUUAAUUAGUCACUGACAAAAUAAUUAUGAAUGAGUAAUAUAUACAUAUGCUUGUACCUUUAUUCUCAUAGAAGUCAAGGCACUGCAAUUCUUCGAAAGGGUGAAACAAUGACAUAUUCAGAAGAGAAACUUCAUAAGAAUAAAAGAGUUAUAAUCAGAGUAGUUGAUUUUUUUUUUCUGAUUGAGUGAGAGUUGCGUCACCCGUCGGGUGGUGGCGUUGCACUUAACUCUCUCCCAAUCGUUACAACAAUCAGACGACAUUCCAUCAUCAUCAAAUCAUGAAGAAAGAACUUCGUCAUCAUAUCCAACAUCACUGGCUGAUGCGAAGAAGCUCUUGAUUUCCAACAGAGCAAUCCUCUCUGUUUCCAAGCAUGCUUUGUAUCCAUGUAACUGAAUCAAAGCUAUGCCAAUCCACAAUGACAACUUCAUCAAAAGCAUUUUCAUUAUUAAUAGUAACUGCAAGAGAAACACUCACAAGAUUUACCUGUCAAUUGUUGCUCUCUUGAAUUUUUUCUGGUUCUCUAGCAAAUAUAUGACUUAUAUAUACAAUGGAAAUUUUGUGCAGAAUGAAAAUUUUGCGCAUUUUCACGUGCCCUGUCAAUGAGAAAACAUGCAUUGAUUGAAAAAAGUAAGUGAGAGAAUAUUACCUGUUGAUACAUGUUAUCUACUUGUGAAAUAAUUGAAGAUGCAAAAUGGUUGAUUUCACGGGCCUGGCCUUUGGCAAAGUGAAAUGUUAGCCACACACUUUUACCAGUCCAGUGUCAACAUUUGUAGCAUAAGGAAAUUGCGGCAUCUCAGCUGGAUUUUGAGGGUCGCUAUUUCGUAUAUCAGUCCCAUUAUUUGUUAGUGGGGACUCACACUCUGUCCUAUAAUGGGCUCACAAAUAUUUAACAUAAUUUUGAUAAUUACUUAAACCGCGUGUCCUUGAUAAUUAAAGAAAAAGAGAAGUGAAUGCAGUAAAAGAUACUGAUGGCCGUAAUUAUGCAAAUAAAUACAAGACUUUACAGUAGAUUAGACCACCAAUUGUGCUUUUUCGUCCAAUAAUAAUGCAUCUGCUUUAGCACGAUACGAGUGAACUUAGGCUUAUCUUUCUUUCGCAAUGUAAAUUCUUGCCAAAAAAUACAUGUUAUCUACUGGUGAAUUAGUUUGAUAAAAUAAAGGCUUAAAGUUUAGUUGAGUAAAAUGUUGGCGUAAAGAAAUUAGCUACUGGAAAAUCACCAAAUGCUUGUUAAGGUAAUAUACAAUUGCAAUUGAACAUCAAGUGAUGGAAACAUCAAAAACCCCAUAAAAAAAUUAAACAAAACCAGUUGCAAUGCAAAUAAACAAGUUUUCAGUUAAGAUGGCAGAACUAAUUCCUUCACAAUCAAGUGUGGUUUCUCAAUUUGUUCUAUUUGCCCAAAAAGACAUGGUCAAGUAUCUGAAAGCAUUUUUAUUUAGUUGACUAUUCGAGUUUGAAUUUGGAAUAAGAGGUUAAAAAAUAAGUUUUGUCUUUUCUCACCCCUUUUACCUUUAGAAAAAAAAUUUAAUUUUUGGUCAAGCUGACUUAAGUGCAUCAUGUGCAAAUCACGUGACAUCCUGAGCUACCAUGUAAUUUGGCUUUAUAAGUGUUUUCUGUUUCUGAAAACAAAAAAUAAUAAAAUGGAAAUGCCUUUAGCUUUUGGCUAGACAUUUUCAGAAACGUUUUUCGUGAACAGAAAAAGUUUUUGUAAAGAGGCAUUGAGCGGUCAGGCGCUUGUCGUGGCCUGCGGCCUGCAGUCCUCAACAAUCCUCAUCUGGCCUCUUUAUAAUCCACUUUUAAUAAAAUAUAGAUAAAAAUAGAAAUAUUACUGAUUUCUAGCACAUCAUUCAAAUUAGUUGCUAUUGUAUAUCUAGCUAGUUUUGAACAAAGUAAGUGAGAAUAUUACAUACAUCUGCUUUAGCAAGAUACGAGUGAAUUAAAACAUUUGACCAGAUGAAAGAGAGAAAAGAAUGUUGAAAUAUUGACUUGAAUAUUGUGGUAAAAUGAGUUUGACUUUAGUACCGACCAAAGAAAUAACUGAAGAUGCAAAUUAAUUGGUUAGUUUGAGGUGCAUGGCUAUUGGCAAAGUGAAAUGUUAGCUUUACACUUCACUUGUGAAUGUACAACAACAUUUGCUGCAUAAGGAAAUUGCGGCGUCUCAGCCGGAUUAUGAGAGUUGUUUUCAAAUCCCAUUUCUCUUCUUCGUAUUUGUUCAUUGCCACAACAUUUGAUGCAAAAUUUGAUGACUACUCAAACGCGUUUCCGCAAUAACUAACGAAAGAAAAAGCGAACGAAUAAGCAAGAGAUACUGAUGACAGUAAUCAUGUAAAUGAAUACAAGGCUUUACAAUAUGCUUUCUUUCACAUGUAAUCUGCUGGUGAAAUAAUUUUUAUAAAACAGAGGCUUAAAGUUAAAGCUGAUUAAAAUAUUGGCGUCGAGAACGCUACAUGGAAAAUUCAACCGUGAGCUGCAGUCUGCAGUCCCCAACAAUCCGGGAAAAGGUUGAGGAGGCGCGCCCCUGCACAUUAAUUUGGCAGGUCUGAUGGGAUUUAUAAAUUAAAAUAAUGUAAUUUUAUAUAUUUUUUAAAUGAAAAAUUCAUUGAUGCCGCUGUGCGAUCCAUUGGAUCCUCGCGUGUUGGCUCCACAAGAGUUUCUCCCUAACAAUCUCCAUCAAAGCUCUUUAUAAUCCAUUUUUGAUAAAAGGAUACAUAUAUUUAUUCAAAUAUUAGUAAAAAUAGAUACAAUGCUGAUUUUUAAAUUAUACUUAAAUUAUACUUAAUGAACAUUUAGACCGACCUGUAAAUCUAUGAAUUCAAACUUCCACAACACCAUCAAUUAUUUUUAGCCUGCAUGUUACAUAUAUUUAUUCAAUUAUUUUUAGCCUGCAUGUUUGAUUGUGCUUCUGUUCUAUAGCUUCGUUAUGUUCAUUGAUAUUUUGUUGUUGUGCAGUAGUACCCAGUGUUCUUGAUAUCGCAAUCAUCACCCCAUAUGAAUCACAAGUUGUUCUCAAGGUAUACAUUUAUACUUAUCAUUAAUACUUUUUUGUUUUGCCCUCACCAGCUAUGAUUAGCAUAUUAUUUUUUAAAACUUUAUAAAUAUAAAUGAAUUAUUAAUUAAUCAUCUUUUUUUUUUAAUUGAAAUUUGCUCAAAGGGCAUCUCCACUGACAAGAUACUUGAUGUGAAAAAAUUGUUGGCUUCCAAUGUAGAAACUUGCCACCUCACAAAUUAUUCUCUCUCUCACGAGGUAUAUAUAUUUUAUUAUCUCUCCCCUUUUUUUUUUAAAUUAUAUAGAUUAUGAAAUUUCAUUUUAAAUUAAUGAAAAUAAGUAAAAUGGCUAACUUAGGUUUUGUUGAAGGCUGUAAAUGGUAGAUCGGAUGUCGAUAAGGGAUGGAGCCGCUGCCGACGAGGGCUGAUGUUGCCACCGAUGAUGGGAGUUUCUUCGGUUUGGGAGAGAUGGGUGAAAGAGAGUGUUGGGGGAGAAAUGAGAGAGAGGGGUAUUUUGGUCUCAAAGGUUCUUUUAUGGCUAUUGUUGAUAGAAAUUUGUUUGGGGGGUUAAGAUGGAAAAAAUCAAAACUUUUAUGGUUAUUGGUGUAAAUUUCCCUAAUUUUCAACCAACCGUAAAUUUUAAUCUAUUAAAAAAAUUAGUUGGCAGACAUGUAAACAGAGCAAGAAGGUUUACAGAAGUGUAUUAUUUUAGAAUUAGUAACUUUUUCAUGAAUAAUUAAUAUGAUUAGAGUUUAACAAAAUUAUAUGUAAAGGCUUGUUUAAAGAGUGAAAAUUUUAUUUUUUUCUCAUUUUUUAGUGCUUAUAAUUAAAAUUUAAUCUAGAAGUAUUUUAAUUAUAAAAAAAUUAUUUUCAAAAAUAAGUUUGACGAAUAGUUUAGUGCUAAAAUAAUAAAAGAAAAUAAUAGUUUAGUGCUAUAAUUAUUUUCUACUUAUAAUUAAGUUAAUAUUUAAUAGAAAGAACUAAAAUAAUAAAAGAAAAAAGAAUUUGCCCGGCAAUUCCUUGUUAUUUACAUUUUUGGCACUGUCCUUCGCAGAGGAAUACACCGAGGAAUCUCAGGCCGUGGCACACGUGCGGCAGCUUCUCGACAUCGUCGUGUGCACCACAUGGUUCUCCAAGUCCAGAAACUCCCGAUUGCCGCCACCGUCAGAGUCAUGUGCCAAAAAGAACGGCAGUAGGCCCCACCCGCCUUCACCAAACUCUGCCGCUCUGUCUGAUGGAGCAGCAACAGCAGCAGCAGAUAACCGAAGCGGGCCCCGCGCCACGUCAUCGCCAGUUUCAUCGGCGGUUUCUCCGAGUCUGGACAUGGCGACCAUUCACCCGACGCCGAAACUCUCCGAGUUUUAUGACUUCUUCUCUUUCUCUCACCUCACUCCCCCCAUCUUAAGUAAGCCUAAUUUUCAUUUAUUUAUUUGUCUUCGUUUCUUACAUGGUUGAUCAAAAAAAAAAAAAAAAAAAGAAAGAGGAAAAUGAUAUAAAUAUAUGUGAUUUAUUUGAAUAUGAAAUUUGUUUAUUGAUUUUAAUUUUUAAUAAUUUUGAUUUUGAAGAUUUGAGAAAAUGUGAACGCAAAGAAGGAGAGAAGCGCGACGGUGAUUAUUUUGAAAUUCAGGUACCAUUUAAUAUAAAGUUCUGAUUAUUGUUGUUUGUUGUUUGGGUCGAUCAAAAAAAAAAAAAAAAAAGAGGAAAUGAUAUAAAUAUAUGUGAUUUAUUUGAAUAUGAAAUUUGUUUAUUGAUUUUAAUUUUUAAUAAUUUUGAUUUUGAAGAUUUGAGAAAAUGUGAACGCAAAGGAGAGAAGCGCGACGGUGAUUAUUUUGAAAUUCAGGUACCAUUUAAUAUAAAGUUCUGAUUAUUGUUGUUUGUUGUUUAUGGACUAAUUAAUUGUAGAGUUAUUCAACUUGUUAUUUUUGCUGAUGAAUUGGCCAAUGAGUGUUAAAGAUUUAAUAAUCAUUGUCCGCCAAUUAAUAAGAAUGCAUGAAUUAUUUUCAUGUCUUCGUAAGUAAUGUGAGUAUUUGAAAGCGUGGGAAACUGUAUUUUGUGCUCACAGAUAAAAAUCUGCAAUGGAAAGCUUAUACAAGUAGUUGCAUCAGUAACAGGGUUCUAUACUUUGGAGCCAAUUGCGCCCGGUACACCUCCAUACUUCAAAAAUUAUCUCAAUACCCUAAAAUCAGUUUUUGCCGAAAUUUUCAUUGAUACCCUUUAAAAACGGAUAGGAAAUUACUAAGCUAUCCUCAUUUUAAAACAUUUCAACUCAACGGACGGCACUUCUCCCUUCUCUACUGAAGCAAACAAACACUCAUCUGCUGCAAUUCCCUCCAUUAUCAAACUCAAACAAACAAACACUGCAAUUCCCUCACCGGCAUCACCUCUGCAAUUCCCUCACCGGCAUCACCUCUACAGAAACAAAUAUUCAUUCUCCAUACAUGGUAAAUCGAACUUCAACACGAGUAAACUAAGCUUGAGAAGGGGAAGCUGCCACAACUGAGAAAGAGAAGCCUAGUUCGUCGCUACAUAAUCGCCGGCGAGAGCGGAUCCUUUACUGUAAAAUAGUCAUAAUUUAACUAGUUGAGGUAAGUAAUUCUCUAUAAAUAGUUUUCUUGUUGAUAUUCAGGGGAAAAAACAACAAAAAGUUAGGGUUUAUAUAGAAAAAAUAGAUUAAUUAGUUGCGGGUCUCUCAUUACAUGUUCAAAAACAAAUUUUUAGUUGUUUUACUACAUGCAAAUUGUGAAAAAUUGAUGGAUUGUGCCGAUUAUAAUUUUGUCAUGUAACACACAAUUUGGUCGUGUAAGGUUAUGUAGGAUUCAAGGUUGUGUAUUACACGACCUUCAUGUAUUGCACUUACACGACCUUCAUGUAUUACACGACCUCAAAAUUACACGACUUUUUUCACUGUUGUUAAUUCAUUAUAAUAACUUAGUUGUUUAAAGACUUAAUUUUUGCUAAGAAUUUAUAUUUGUUGCUAUGCAGAAAAUGUCAACGAAAAGUAUUCAGGAAAAAAUGAAAUGUGGCAAACCGAAAGCUGAAAAUUACUAAUUUGUCAUCGUUAGAACCAAUAAGAAUAAUGUGAAGGUUCAUUUUGUUAUUAUUUUUAACUAAGUAUGUUAUUAUUUUUAACUACGUACAAAUUGUGUAAAGUUAUUAAUAUUUGCUGCUGUGCAGAUUCUGACAACAUUUGAUGAUAACCCGAGUAUUGCCACACUUGCGACUGUGUUUUCAACUAGCCUUUGAUUUAAGAGUUGUUUCUAAUUGAUUUCAUGGAUUUAUUAUAUGCAGGCAUUCCUCAUGUAUGCAUGUAUGCUUCGGCAGAGGAAGAAAGCAGUUUGAAGAUAAAAAAAAAAAAAAAACUUUUUAAAUGGUUGUAAUAUGUUUAAUUACGAUAUCCAUUAGUGUAUCAUAUCCAAAUAUUGACAUUGUAAACUGAUAACUUUGUUUAUUUAUAAUAAUUAAUCUCAUCAUUUCUCAAAUUGUCGAAUAUGCAAUUUUUUUUUUUUUUGCUGUAAUUUAUGAACACACGAUUUGAUCUACGUUCAAAAGUAAUGCAAAGCGGGUUUCUAAACUUCAUUCCACUAGCUACUUCCUCUAAGAAAAAUUCCACAUCAUCAUUGGUUUGAAUUGUAACUGGUGGCAUAGGAUCAGAUGUCUUAAGUUUGAACUUCAUUGUGAUUUCGAAUUCCGAAGUAUCUAUAUCAAUAACUUCAACUAUCUUCUCCAUCAAUUCGGCAUAUAUUGUCGAUCGUGGUAUCAUUAUCCCUUUAGCCUUGAAACCUUUGAACUUAUACUCGUCAUUUUGCUCAAUUCAUUCACCAUUGAAGAGAAUAGCUUCAUGUAUUGCACUUACACGACUUCAUGUAUUUCACGACGUUCAUGUAUUACACGACCUUCAUAUACUACACGACCUCAUGUAUUACACGACCUCAAAAUUACACGACUUUUUUUACUGUUGUUAAUUCAUUAUAAUAACUUAGUUGUUUAAAGACUUAAUUUUUGCUAAGAAUUUAUAUUUGUUGCUAUGCAGAAAAUGUCAACGAAAAGUAUUCAGGAAAAAAUGAAACGAGGCAAACCGAAAGUGAAAAUUACUAAUUUGUCAUCAUUGGAACCAAUAAGAAUAAUAAAAAAUAACCUUAGUGACGUACAAUUGGGGAUUUUUCGCAAAUCAUGUUUUGGGCACUUUUUGGACUUGAAUGAGUUUCAGUUUUGUGCCCAGUUGUUGCACAAGUUGGUAUUAAGGCAUAUGCAUUCAUCCGAUAAGGCAAUGUAUUUUAAGAUAGGGAAAAAAGUUUGUCGAUUUUCAAUGUUUGAAUUUGCAUUAGUUACUGGACUGAAUUGUGAAGAAAUUUAUAAACCUAACUUGGACAUUGUUGAUGACGGUGGUCGUGUAUGUGAUGUUUUGUUGGACGGUUGCACAAAGUUCACUAACACAACGCUAGGUCAGAUAUUUGAAGCAACUAAGUCCAAGGAUGAUAUGAAAAUGGUUAAAUUUGCCAUGUUGUACUUUUUGGAGGUUGUAUUACUUGGAAAAGAAUAUAGAUCAUCUAUAAUUAGGGAUCACAUUCUCCACAUUGACAACUUUGAAGAUUUCAAUAAAUAUCCUUGGGGCCGUGUCUGUUUUGAGAACACAUUAGAAAGUAUGAAGAAUGUGAUUGCAAUUAGACAGAAUAGAGAAAGGGCAAAUCCAGACUAUGUCCCUGAAAAGGAGGCAUACAGUCUUCAUGGCUGUCCAUUUGCAGUUCAGGUAACAAAUUGUCAAUAUUGGUUUCGUAGAGAUUAUUAAGAUUAGGAAUAUUAAUUAUUUCUUUUACUUGCACAGGUAUGGGCACUUGAAAUUUUCAGUGAAGUGUGUGAAACUUUUUCCUCGAAAUGUAAGCAUGUCAAAUAUCCAAGAAUUCUAAAUUGGACAAUCACUAAACAUGUUAGCUCUAAUUCGCUUGACUAUUCCAUAUUUGAUAAGAAAAAGGUAAUAACAAACAAUCUAGAUCGUUAGUGUCUUUCUUUUUUUCUUUUUAAUUUAUCUUUGACAUUUAUUAAUUGGCCUAAUUAUUACAGCUUAAGGUACUAGAGAAGUUGGAUGUCGCUGAUGAAAUAGAGGCAUCACAGCCUAAUCUACAAUGGUUUUGGCAAACAAAUUGGCUGCAACAACUUGAAAAUGAUUUUCUUGUUGACUCAAAGAGUAAAAAAUCAGCCACUCCAGUCUCAGAACAGAAAAGUAGCAGUGUUGUGCAGAAAAAUUCUGUGGCCAUGGAAGUUAAAGAGACUAAUAAACGUGCGAAGUGUCAAGUUAUGUCCAUGAAAUGCAAAACGAAUUAUGAACAUGCAAAUUCUGUUGAGGACAAAACUGUAAGUUUUUUUAAUCUUUUAAUAACAAUUUCAUUUUUCAAUUUUUUUUGUUUGCCUAAUAGGCUCUGUCUUGUUCUGCUUGUAAGGGUAAACGUCCUGGUUACAUUGAUAAUUUGAUUUCUUUUAUCGAGGACAAGUUUAAUUGUUUGGAUAAGCGUCUCAAAAAGAUCGAAGAGAAGGUGCAGAAAAUUGACUCAUUGGAGGAGAAUACAGGUGAUGUGAGGGAGAUGAGAGAACAAGUCAAUAAAAUUGUAGACUUAGUGGAGUUCCUAAAUUCAGCGGACUACAAUGUGAAGGUUCAUUUUAUUAUUAUUUUUAACUAAGUAUGUUAUUAUUUUUAUCUAAGUACAAAUUGUGUAAAGUUAUUAAUAUUGCUGCUGUGCAGAUUCCGACAACAUUUGAUGAUAACCCGAGUAUUGCCACACCUGCGACUGUGUUUCCAAGCUUCACCACAAAUGCAGGCAUAGUCAAAGAGGAUCCAAUAAUUAUUCCGUCUACACAGCAAGAGGUGAAAAAAUAUGAAAGAAAAAGGCGAUCUCGAAAGGAUGCAGCUGUUUUACGCACGCCAUCUACUAACCCAUUUCGAAAAUCGCGACAUGUCAACGUCGAUGAAGCAAAACAGCAAGUUCAGUUUGAGCAUUGGCUGAAGGAGGAUAAUAUGGAACCGUAAUUCCUUAUUUCUCUUUGUAAACUUACUUUUAUUUGAAACAAUAUUUCUUGGUUGACUAUAACAAGUAAUAAGUUUUACUCAUAUUUUCUUGGCAGAAGAUUUGGUUGGUCCCUGAAAGAUGAGUUUCAGCAUUUGAGAAAGAUUUCAAUUCUACGUGGGCUUUGCCAUAUAAGGUACUGUCUUUUCGGUUCCUUUGGCAGCCGAUUAUUUUCAAAGCUUGAAUUUUGCUUGUAAACUUCACCCAGGUUGGGUUGGUGUUGGUUCCCAGAGAUUAUGAUAUGGAAUGCCCAAACCCAUUCACGAGAGAUGAUAUUGUCAGCAUGGUUCCUGUGUGCAAGGUAAGACUAUUUUCUCUCUUAAUUGUGUUUUGAUUUAGUUUUUACAUUCUCAAUGAGUCACUCAUUUGUAAAUUGAAUGUAAUUGUGCUAUUUUUAUGGCAUUCUACAGCAUGUAGGUUGCACUUCAGCCGAUGGACGGACCUUAUUAGAGUCAUCCAAAAUUGCCCUUGAUAAAGGAAAACUAGAAGAUGCUGUAAAUUAUGGGACAAAGGUAAUAACCCACUCGAUCUAUACGUAAGAAUUACAUUAUUCUUUUCAUAAUAAGGCAUCUCUUGAUCUCAUAUGAUGUAUUACUUGCAUUGUAAGGCACUGGCAAGGAUGAUAGCUGUUUGUGGUCCCUACCGUCGGACUACUGCAAGUGCUUACAGUCUUCUAGCUGUAGUUCUCUACCAUACUGGAGACUUUAAUCAGGUAUGACAAUCUUCAAUUGUAUUUCAGUGUUAACUUGGUGAUUCUAAGUCUAGUAUAAUUAUAACGUCCUUCUGUACGGGGGUUCUCAUUCAUCGGGACAUUUGAUUUGAAUUUUUGUAUGUUAUGGUUAGUUUUUAUGGUCUUGUAUAAAGAUAUGCAUUAGGAAUUAUAAUUUUCUGGACUUAGGAAUUACAUGUACAGGCAUUAGCAUAAUUUUGAUAUCAGAUUAUAUAUUUUAACUAAAUCAAACACGUUCAUGAUUCUUAUGUUCCAGCAUUUCGUCUAAUGGCAUCUGCGUCUGAGUGUUAGAGUAGUGUUCGUAUGUACUCAAGAUAUCUUCUUCUUCAUUUUAGGCAACUAUAUAUCAUCAGAAGGCAUUGGAUAUUAAUGAGAGGGAACUUGGUCUUGACCACCCAGAUACAAUGAAAAGCUACGGGGAUCUUUCAAUUUUCUAUUAUCGCCUUCAACACAUUGAAUUGGCUCUUAAGUGAGUAGCACUACUUGAUUUACCGGAGCAACUUUGUUUUCAUUCUUUAACUGAUUAAGGUUUAUUUAUUCAUAAAUUAAAUUGGAAGUUUCGAAAAAUGUGACCUUUGCAUUGAAUCUGCUUCGAACGAAUGCAGUUUUUAUCUACCUACUUUAGCUUUUAUUUGUCUUUUAUUGGCUCUAGCUCCUGAUCAUACCGUACCAUUGGCAGAUAUGUAAAUCGUGCCUUAUUCCUUUUGCAUUUUACUUGUGGACUUUCACAUCCAAACACUGCUGCAACAUACAUAAAUGUGGCUAUGAUGGAAGAGGGCAUGGGAAAUGAUCAUCUUUCUCUUAGAUAUUUGCAUGAGGCCCUUAAAUGCAACCAAAGACUAUUAGGAGGUGACCAUAUACAGGUUUUUCUCUCUCUAUUUACGCAUGUAUACACACUCUUUAGAAUUAUAAAUCUUUCUGUAAACUCAGAAUUUUGUUUGAUUUCUUCACGUGACAGACAGCUGCAAGUUAUCAUGCCAUAGCCAUAGCUCUUUCUUUGAUGGAGGCAUAUUCACUAAGUGUGCAACAUGAGCAAACUACACUUAAGAUUCUCCAAGCAAAGCUUGGACUAGAAGAUCUGCGUACUCAGGUGACUACAUGUAGUCAUAUUUUAAUUGGUUCUGUUGUGCAAUUUGGCUAGUUGGCUUCUCUCUUGUCAAUCUUUUACAGGUGAUAUUAUGAUAUAAAACAUAUUGUAUCGGCGGCCUAUUUUGGUGUUAAGUAUGGAUAUGACCCAUUCAUUAAUCGUAUCGAAAUAUCAAAAUACGGAUAUGACCCGUUUAUUAAUCGUGUUGACUUGUUUAAUAUUAAAUACAAACAAAUUAAAAAUUAAUUUAAAAAUAACAAAUGUGUCAAAAAAAUAAGUUAAAAUGACAUAAGUAUGACAUGAAUAAGUUUAUAACAUAAUAUGAGUAUGACAUGAGUCAUUAAUUUAGUGAUUAGUAUAUAUUUUAGUUUUUUUUUCCAAUAAUAUUAACACAUAAUAAUUGAUAUUUAUGUUAUAAACGUAUAAUCAUGUUGAGAUGGUCCAAAACAGAUAUGACCUGGUUAUUUAUCGUGUCGUGUCAACUCAUUUAUUAAUCGUGUCAAUAUUUGUUAACACAAAUAUGGGUCAUAUGUCGUAUUAUGUUGUGUAAUCGUGUCGUAAUCCAUUUUGCUACCUCUAAUCUUAACUGUCAUGAGAGAAUUUCUCAAGUUCCAUAUUAUUGAUGGGAAGAGAUUUUUGUUAUUUUGUUGUAUUUUGUUUUUCGUUUUACAGGAUGCUGCUGCAUGGCUGGAGUAUUUUGAAUCAAAAGCUCUAGAGCAGCAAGAAGCGGUACGGAAUGGAACCCCAAAGCCAGAUGUGUCCAUUGCGAGUAAAGGUCACCUUAGGUAUUAACAGGGUAUUCCCACAUUACUUGUUUCUAAAUUGUUGAUUAUUUCUUGUGGCACCAAGACCUAUAAUGAUCGCUUUUCGCAGUGUAUCAGAUCUCCUGGAUUACAUAGGUCCUGGUCAAGAUUCUAAAAGAAGCGAAGCACAUAGGAAACAACGACGUGCAAAGGUAGUACAUACUUAGUGCAUGUUUAGUAUGACUUAUCUAAUGGUCUUAAAUUUUUAUUUAAUCCUAUAAGCUCUUAUCAAAAUUUUUUGUGUUGUUUAAUUGUUUUUUUAGUAGAGCUCUUGAAAAUUAAAUAAACUAUUUUGCCUCUACUACAAAAAGCUCAAAUUUUGUGCUUUUGAGAAUAGAGGUUAAUUUUUUUUUAAAUGUUAAAUUAUCUAAAAUAUUCUCUAUUUAUAUGACAAUCUUAUUUUAUUCUUUUCAAAACAUAACUUUAAAAAAUUUGCUUAUUAAAGUAAUUUUAUAAUUUUUAAUAAAAGCUCUUAUUGACAACCAAACAACACAAAUUUUUGAGUAAAAACUUUACUUAUAAAAUCUUUACUAGCAGAACUCUACUCAAAUAAGAUCUAUUUGAAAAGCUAUGUGAAAUGAAGCAUUAAGCAUGCUGCUGUUCUCUGUUCCUUUUUUCUUGUGAUGUCCAUCUGAAUGGAUUCUUAAACUAAUUGUAGUUAGGAUUUGGUAUUUUAGAGUACACUCUGCUGGCAUAUAGUUUUGGAUUUGCUGAUUACACGAGUAAACUUGUUGUCCAUGCAAAAUGCAACUAACUAUUGCUGGAUAAUAGUUCUACUUUUCUGAGUGAACUCUGAAGGCACCAAAUAUAAACAUCCAUUUCUACCAUACCCCAACAAAAAGAAAUCUAACAUGCUUAUAUAGAUCACAGACAUGAUUGAAACUUUAGAAGGUUCUGAUCUAUUGAUGGCCAUAGAUUGGGCCAGCUGAUAGUUAGUAGGCAAUGAUGGAGGGUUGCUUGGUCAAGCUGCUAGUUCUUUAGAAAUUCAGAGAUGAUGAGCAGAACGAGUGAUAGUUUUUGUUUUACCCCGUAACCUUGAACAGAGUGAGAAGAAACCAUUAAUUUGAAGUGCAAUGGAUGGAUAUGACGGAUCUAUCAUUUUGGCUAGGAGAUGGAGUUCUUCCAUUCUACUGUUAUUUAAUGGUUGUUAUUAUUGAUUCUAGAAAAACAUUUUUCGAUUUGGCAGUUUGAGUUUUUCCCUUUUUUUUUUUUCCUCAUUUUGUAGGCCUUAGAGAACCAAAUAAUACUACAUAUUAGAAAGACAGGAUUAUUAUGUGCUAAUUUGAAGUAUUACCUGGUUGACAAUUUAAGACAAUAGUAAAGUAUUUCGCUGUGAUUAUUUUUUUUGAGAAUUCCAUGAUUCAAAAGGCUGAAGAAUUUCAUUAGUUUAACAUAAUAUAUAUUAGCAUAAUUUCUCACUGAGUGUUUUUUUCAACAUUUCAGGCAUGUACAUAUCAAAUUCCCAUUUAUGUUCCACUGAAUUCUGCCUCAUGUUAUGUCUGGAUUUGUUGUAAUAAAUUUUGCUAUUGUAAAAUUACAAGAUGAUUGUAACUUAAAAUGAAAUAUUUCUAUUUGCUCAAUUUUUGACAUUUUAUAUGCAUACAAGUUAAAAAGGUUUUGUUUUCUUUUUUUGGUUUAUUUAUUUUUUUCAGGUAAUGCAGAUUAGGGAAAAGAUUCCCCCAACAAAAAGAAAUCUAACAUGCUUAUAUAGAUCACAGACAUGAUUGAAACUUUAGAAGGUUCUGAUCUAUUGAUGGCCAUAGAUUGGGCCAGCUGAUAGUUAGUAGGCAAUGAUGGAGGGUUGCUUGGUCAAGCUGCUAGUUCUUUAGAAAUUCAGAGAUGAUGAGCAGAACGAGUGAUAGUUUUUGUUUUACCCCGUAACCUUGAACAGAGUGAGAAGAAACCAUUAAUUUGAAGUGCAAUGGAUGGAUAUGACGGAUCUAUCAUUUUGGCUAGGAGAUGGAGUUCUUCCAUUCUACUGUUAUUUAAUGGUUGUUAUUAUUGAUUCUAGAAAAACAUUUUUCGAUUUGGCAGUUUGAGUUUUUCCCUUUUUUUUUUUUCCUCAUUUUGUAGGCCUUAGAGAACCAAAUAAUACUACAUAUUAGAAAGACAGGAUUAUUAUGUGCUAAUUUGAAGUAUUACCUGGUUGACAAUUUAAGACAAUAGUAAAGUAUUUCGCUGUGAUUAUUUUUUUUGAGAAUUCCAUGAUUCAAAAGGCUGAAGAAUUUCAUUAGUUUAACAUAAUAUAUAUUAGCAUAAUUUCUCACUGAGUGUUUUUUUCAACAUUUCAGGCAUGUACAUAUCAAAUUCCCAUUUAUGUUCCACUGAAUUCUGCCUCAUGUUAUGUCUGGAUUUGUUGUAAUAAAUUUUGCUAUUGUAAAAUUACAAGAUGAUUGUAACUUAAAAUGAAAUAUUUCUAUUUGCUCAAUUUUUGACAUUUUAUAUGCAUACAAGUUAAAAAGGUUUUGUUUUCUUUUUUUGGUUUAUUUAUUUUUUUCAGGUAAUGCAGAUUAGGGAAAAGAUUCAUGGAGCACAUCAUGAUAUGAUGGUGGAAGAUGCACUGCCCAAUGAUGGAUUGAAAAAAAGUAUGACUAUAGUGGAAAGCAAGACCGAGGAGGUAAUAGAAGACCGUGUUCAACCUGAAGAGCCAGAAGAGAAUGAUGAUAUUACUAGAUAUGGACCGGCAAUUUCAGGUGAGUUUGUGGAAGAAACAAAUUCAGAUGAGGGGUGGCAAGAAGCCAAUCCAAAAGGUAGGUCAGGAAAUGCUGCUGUUCGGAAGCUCAGCCGGAGGCAACCUGUUCUUACAAAGCUAAAUGUCAAUGGUUGUGAACAUUCAAAUCUUAGAGAAAAAGGCAAUAGACGGGAAAUUGUAUCUCCAGUACGGGAAAAAGCUUCAAGGACCACCACCACUGAGUUAACAGGCAUAAAGGAUUCAAUUAAACAGGUGAGUUUGUGGAAGAAACAAAUUCAGAUGAGGGGUGGCAAGAAGCCAAUCCAAAAGGUAGGUCAGGAAAUGCUGCUGUUCGGAAGCUCAGCCGGAGGCGGCCUGUUCUUACAAAGCUAAAUGUCAAUGGUUGUGAACAUUCAAAUCUUAGAGAAAAAGGCAAUAGACGGGAAAUUGUAUCUCCAGCACGGGAAAAAGCUUCAAGGACCACCACCACUGAGUUAACAGGCAUGAAGGAUUCAAUUAAAUUGCAGGCAAAAGCUUCUGUCUCCAAAGUUUAUGCAAGUCCACCAAAC
Molecule: long non-coding RNA, 41567 nt
Filed under: Citrus sinensis (sweet orange)
Lineage: Eukaryota; Viridiplantae; Streptophyta; Magnoliopsida; Sapindales; Rutaceae
Description: long non-coding RNA (CSIN_LNC004355)
Source: RNAcentral